This 700-nucleotide ribosomal RNA is filed under the name uncultured bacterium. RNAcentral describes it as "bacterial SSU rRNA". It matches the Rfam family "Bacterial small subunit ribosomal RNA", at positions 28 to 722 of the family's 1533-position model. The record is from RNAcentral.
AGCGAACGUUUGCGGCGGGCCUAACACAUGCAAGUCGAACGAGAAUCUCUUCGGAGAGGAAAGUGGCGCACGGGUGCGUAACACGUGGAUAACCAACCCCNGCUGUCGGGAUAACGCUGGGAAACUGGCGCUAAUACCGGGUGUGUCCGAGGUGUCAUCAGGCGCUUCGGAGAAAGACACGCAAGGGUCGCCAGGGGACGGGUCCGCGUCCCAUCAGCUAGUUGGUGAGGUAAUGGCUCACCAAGGCAAAGACGGGUAGCUGGUCUGAGAGGAUGAUCAGCCACACUGGAACUGAGACACGGUCCAGACUCCUACGGGAGGCAGCUGUGGGGAAUAUUGCGCAAUGGGCGGAAGCCUGACGCAGCCACGCCGCGUGAGCGAUGAAGGUCUUAGGAUCGUAAAGCUCUGUGGAGGGAGAAGAAGAAAGCCGGUGAAGAGCCGGCCUUGACGGUAUCCCUUUAGCAAGCACCGGCUAACUCCGUGCCAGCAGCCGCGGUAAUACGGAGGGUGCAAACGUUGCUCGGAAUCAUUGGGCGUAAAGCGCGCGUAGGCGGCGAGGCAAGUUGGAUGUGAAAGCCCCUGGGCUCAACCCAGGAAGUGCAUCCAAAAUCUGCCUUGCUUGAAUCUCGGAGGGGGCUCAGGGAAUUCCCGGUGUAGAGUGAAAUUCGUAGAUAUCGGGAGGAACACCAGUGGCGAAGGC